Molecule: ribosomal RNA, 486 nt
Filed under: uncultured Lutimonas sp.
Lineage: Bacteria; Pseudomonadati; Bacteroidota; Flavobacteriia; Flavobacteriales; Flavobacteriaceae
Description: bacterial SSU rRNA
Rfam family: Bacterial small subunit ribosomal RNA
Source: RNAcentral
GAUGAACGCUAGCGGCAGGCUUAACACAUGCAAGUCGAGGGGUAACAGGGUUUAGUUUACUAGAUUGCUGACGACCGGCGCACGGGUGAGUAACGCGUAUACAAUUUACCUUUUACAGGAGGAUAGCCCAGAGAAAUUUGGAUUAAUACUCCAUAGUAUUAUUUGGCCACCUGGUCAGAUAAUUAAAGUUCCGGCGGUAAAAGAUGAGUAUGCGUCCUAUUAGCUAGAUGGUAAGGUAACGGCUUACCAUGGCGACGAUAGGUAGGGGUCCUGAGAGGGAGAUCCCCCACACUGGUACUGAGACACGGACCAGACUCCUACGGGAGGCAGCAGUGAGGAAUAUUGGGCAAUGGAGGCAACUCUGACCCAGCCAUGCCGCGUGCAGGAAGACUGCCCUAUGGGUUGUAAACUGCUUUUAUACAGGAAGAAACUUACCCACGUGUGGGUAACUGACGGUACUGUAAGAAUAAGGACCGGCUAACUCCG